RNAcentral lists this transfer RNA (69 nucleotides) under Marmota monax (woodchuck). RNAcentral describes it as "tRNA.Thr". Lineage: Eukaryota; Metazoa; Chordata; Mammalia; Rodentia; Sciuridae. The record is from RNAcentral.
GGGUGUAGCUCAGUGGUACAGCACUUGCCUAGUAUGUGCAAAGCCCUGGGUUCAAUCUCCAGCACCACG